This 125-nucleotide ribosomal RNA is filed under the name Meiothermus sp. QL-1. Its description in RNAcentral is "Bacterial small subunit ribosomal RNA". It matches the Rfam family "Bacterial small subunit ribosomal RNA", at positions 1 to 128 of the family's 1533-position model. The record is from Rfam by way of RNAcentral. Lineage: Bacteria; Thermotogati; Deinococcota; Deinococci; Thermales; Thermaceae.
UUUCUGGAGAGUUUGAUCCUGGCUCAGGGUGAACGCUGGCGGUAUGCCUAAGACAUGCAAGUCGAGCGGGCCAUGGGGCGACUCAUGGUUAGCGGCGGACGGGUGAGUAACACGUAGGUGACCUA